UGAGUAAGUACCCUCGGAAAGACCAUCAGACUCAUCUUCAUUGCUUAAGCAGCUUAAUCCUCACGGGUGGAGCUCGGCAUGAUUGGGAAUGAUAGGGUGGUAGACCAGCAAUGGUCAAUCUCCUUGCCAGACUUGUUCCGCCUUCGGGUGUUGACAACAAGCACUGCAGAAAAUUGUGGAUCUACUUGCCGAUGGCCAAACCUAAGCAGCAGAAACACAUUUGAAGAUCCGCAAGCAUCAGGUGCCAUCUCCAUGGCUGCCGGUGUUGUGCAGUCUUCUCCAAGGAUUAUGAUUUCAGUCUCCAAGACCCCGCAGUGCACACCGCGACCUUGCCAGACCGGAAGAGUAUAUCCAGAGCACAUAAGACCGGCGAACAAGGAAGCUUUGUACUUGUCGCACGCAAUGCCUUGCGGCACAGUGUGUGAUGAGUCUUUGCCUUUAUUGCAAUCUUGCGUAACAAACACAGUGGCGCGCAGUCCUGGAUGUAACAGUCCGGACAGCCGCCUUUGCUGGCAGAGGUUCGCCUCUGACGGCAGCUUAGUGAUAGUUACCUGGUUGAUUCUGCCAGU
RNAcentral lists this unclassified non-coding RNA (569 nucleotides) under Tilletiopsis washingtonensis. The record is from RNAcentral. Lineage: Eukaryota; Fungi; Basidiomycota; Exobasidiomycetes; Entylomatales.